AGCAGCCGCGGUAAUUCCAGCUCCAAUAGCGUAUAUUAAAGUUGUUGCAGCUAAAAAGCUCGUAGUUGAAUUUCGGGGUUAAUAAGUUGGUCGUGCCAAUGGUAUGUACUGGCUUUAUUGAUUCCUACCUCUUGAAGAACUGUGAUGCCAUUAAUUUGGUGUUGCAGGGAAUCAGGACUGUUACCUUGAAAAAAUUAGAGUGUUUAAAGCAGGCUUAAGCUUGAAUACAUUAGCAUGGAAUAAUGAAAUAGGACGUUUGAACCUAUUUUGUUGGUUUUUAGGUAUCGACGUAAUGAUUAAUAGGGAUAGUUGGGGGCGAUUAGUAUUCAAUUGUCAGAGGUGAAAUUCUUGGAUUUAUUGAAGACUAACUACUGCGAAAGCAUUUGCCAAGGAUGUUUUCAUUAAUCAAGAACGAAAGUUAGGGGAUCGAAGACGAUCAGAUACCGUCGUAGUCUUAACCAUAAACUAUGCCGACUAGGGAUCGGAUGAUGUUAAUUUUUUAAUGACUCAUUCGGCGCCU
This 520-nucleotide ribosomal RNA is filed under the name uncultured Glomus. RNAcentral describes it as "SSU rRNA". It matches the Rfam family "Eukaryotic small subunit ribosomal RNA", at positions 569 to 1088 of the family's 1831-position model. The record is from RNAcentral. Lineage: Eukaryota; Fungi; Glomeromycota; Glomeromycetes; Glomerales; Glomeraceae.